Molecule: ribosomal RNA, 497 nt
Filed under: uncultured bacterium
Lineage: Bacteria
Description: partial 16S ribosomal RNA
Rfam family: Bacterial small subunit ribosomal RNA
Source: RNAcentral
GAUGAACGCUGGCGGCGUGCUUAACACAUGCAAGUCGAACGAAGCACUUUAAUCGAUUUCUUCGGAUUGAAAUUUUAGUGACUGAGUGGCGGACGGGUGAGUAACGCGUGGGUAACCUGCCUCACACAGGGGGAUAACAGUUGGAAACGGCUGCUAAUACCGCAUAAGCGCACAGUACCGCAUGGUACGGUGUGAAAAACUCCGGUGGUGUGAGAUGGACCCGCGUCUGAUUAGCUAGUUGGCAGGGUAACGGCCUACCAAGGCGACGAUCAGUAGCCGACCUGAGAGGGUGACCGGCCACAUUGGGACUGAGACACGGCCCAAACUCCUACGGGAGGCAGCAGUGGGGAAUAUUGCACAAUGGGGGAAACCCUGAUGCAGCGACGCCGCGUGAGCGAAGAAGUAUUUCGGUAUGUAAAGCUCUAUCAGCAGGGAAGAAGAAAUGACGGUACCUGACUAAGAAGCACCGGCUAAAUACGUGCCAGCCGCCGCCGUAA